This 465-nucleotide ribosomal RNA is filed under the name uncultured bacterium. Its description in RNAcentral is "partial 16S ribosomal RNA". It matches the Rfam family "Bacterial small subunit ribosomal RNA", at positions 338 to 795 of the family's 1533-position model. The record is from RNAcentral.
CCUACGGGAGGCAGCAGUAGGGAAUCUUCCACAAUGGGCGAAAGCCUGAUGGAGCAACGCCGCGUGGGUGAAGAAGGUCUUCUGAUCGUAAAACCCUGUUUUUAGAGAAGAAAGUGCGUGAGAGUAACUGUUCACGUUUCGACGGUAUCUAACCAGAAAGCCACGGCUAACUACGUGCCAGCAGCCGCGGUAAUACGUAGGUGGCAAGCUUUAUCCGGAUUUAUUGGGCGUAAAGGGAACGCAGGGGGUCUUUUCAGGCCGAUGGUAACGCCUUCGGCUUAAACGGAGUAGUGCAUUGGAAACUGGGAGACGUGAGUGCAGAAGAGGAGUGUGGAACUCCAUGUGUAGCGGUGAAAUGCGUAGAUAUAAGGAAGAACACCAGUGGCGAAAGCAGCUCUCUGGUCUGUAACUGACGCUGAGGUUCGAAAGCGUGGGUAGCAAACAGGAUUAGAUACCCUGGUAGUC